RNAcentral lists this transfer RNA (69 nucleotides) under Ictidomys tridecemlineatus (thirteen-lined ground squirrel). RNAcentral's name for it is "Spermophilus tridecemlineatus (thirteen-lined ground squirrel) tRNA". It matches the Rfam family "tRNA". From Rfam's summary of the family: Transfer RNA (tRNA) molecules are approximately 80 nucleotides in length. Their secondary structure includes four short double-helical elements and three loops (D, anti-codon, and T loops). Lineage: Eukaryota; Metazoa; Chordata; Mammalia; Rodentia; Sciuridae. The record is from Rfam by way of RNAcentral.
GGGGCUGUAGCUUAGUAGCAGAGUGCUUGCCUGUCAUACAUGAAGCACUGGGUUUGAUCCUCAGCCCCA